RNAcentral lists this ribosomal RNA (253 nucleotides) under uncultured bacterium. Its description in RNAcentral is "partial 16S ribosomal RNA". It matches the Rfam family "Bacterial small subunit ribosomal RNA", at positions 524 to 776 of the family's 1533-position model. The record is from RNAcentral.
UACGUAGGGGCCGAGCGUUGUCCGGAUUCAUUGGGCGUAAAGAGCGUGUAGGCGGCCGCUUAAGUCCUGCGUGAAAUCUCGGAGCUCAACUCCGAGCGGUCGUGGGAAACUGGGCGGCUAGAGUGCGGGAGAGGAGAGUGGAAUUCCUGGUGUAGCGGUGGAAUGCGCAGAUAUCAGGAAGAACACCCGUGGCGAAGGCGGCUCUCUGUAACGCAACUGACGCUGAGGUGCGAAAGCCAGGGGAGCAAACGGG